Molecule: ribosomal RNA, 387 nt
Filed under: unidentified bacterium sp. sbr-gs26
Lineage: Bacteria
Description: partial 16S ribosomal RNA
Source: RNAcentral
GCACCUUCCGAUACGGCUACCUUGUUACGACUUCACCCCAGUCAUGAAGCUCACCGUGGUAAGCGCCCUCCUUGCGGUUAAGCUACCUACUUCUGGUAAACCCCACUCCCAUGGUGUGACGGGCGGUGUGUACAAGACCCGGGAACGUAUUCACCGCAGCAUGCUGAUCUGCGAUUACUAGCAAUUCCAGCUUCAUGGAGUCGAGUUUCAGACUCCAAUCCGAACUGAGACCACUUUUUAGGGAUUAGCUCCACCUCGCGGUAUUGCAGCCCUUUGUAGUGGCCAUUGUAGCACGUGUGUGGCCCUAGGCGUAAGAGCCAUGCGGACUUGACGUCAUCCCCACCUUCCUCACUACUUGCGUAGGCAGUCUUUCUAGAGUGCUCGGCA